UCCAGACUCCUACGGGAGGCAGCAGUGAGGAAUAUUGGUCAAUGGGCGGGAGCCUGAACCAGCCAAGCCGCGUGAAGGAAGAAGGCGCCAAGCGUCGUAAACUUCUUUUGUCGGGGAACAGAGGGCGCCACGUGUGACGUUGUGAGUGUACCCGAAGAAAAAGCAUCGGCUAACUACGUGCCAGCAGCCGCGGUCAUACGUAGGAUCCGAGCAUUAUCCGGAGUGACUGGGUGUAAAGAGUUGCGUAGGUGGCAUAAUAAGUAGCUAGUGAAAUCUGGUGGCUCAACCAUUCAGACUAUUAGCUAAACUGUUAAGCUCGAGACCGUUAGGGGUAACUGGAAUUUCUAGUGUAGGAGUGAAAUCCGUAGAUAUUAGAAGGAACACCAAUAGCGUAGGCAGGUUACUGGGACGGUUCUGACACUAAGGCACGAAAGCGUAGGGAGCAAACGGGAUUAGAUACCCCCGUAAC
This 469-nucleotide ribosomal RNA is filed under the name uncultured bacterium. RNAcentral describes it as "bacterial SSU rRNA". It matches the Rfam family "Bacterial small subunit ribosomal RNA", at positions 330 to 794 of the family's 1533-position model. The record is from RNAcentral.